UACGUAGGGGGCGAGCGUUGUCCGGAUUUACUGGGCGUAAAGCGCGUGUAGGCGGCGGCUUAAGUCGGGUGUGAAAGCCCGGGGCUCAACCCCGGGAUGCCGCUCGAGACUGGGUCGCUUGAGGACGGAAGAGGGGCGUGGAAUUCCUGGUGUAGCGGUGAAAUGCGUAGAUAUCAGGAGGAACACCGGUGGUGUAGACGGCUAUCUGGACCGUAACUGACGCUGAGGCACGAAAGCGUGGGUAGCAAACAGG
RNAcentral lists this ribosomal RNA (253 nucleotides) under uncultured bacterium. Its description in RNAcentral is "partial 16S ribosomal RNA". It matches the Rfam family "Bacterial small subunit ribosomal RNA", at positions 524 to 776 of the family's 1533-position model. The record is from RNAcentral.